UUUAGAGGGCGUACCCCCCACACUGGUACUGAGACACGGACCAGACUUCUACGGAAGGCAGCAGUGAGGAAUAUUGGUCAAUGGAGGAAACUCUGAACCAGCUACGCCGUGUGCAGGAUGACAGUCUUUUCAGGUUGUAAACUGCUUUUUGUAUAGAAAUAAAACUCCUACGUGAUAGGAGCUUGAAGGUACUAUACGAAUAAGUGUCGGCUAAUUCCGUGCCAGCAGCCGCGGCAAUACGGGAGACACAAGCGUUAUUCGGAUUUAUUGGGUUUAAAGGGUGUGUAGGCUGUUUAUUAAGUCAGUAGUGAAAGCUUACAGCUUAACUGUAAAAUUGCUAUUGAUACUGGCAAACUUGAGUAAGAUUGGAGCAGCUGGAAUGUAUGGUGUAGCGGUGAAAUGCAUAGAUAUCAUACAGAACACCGAUAGCGAAGGCAGGCUGCUAAAUCUUUAUUGACGCUGAGUGCACGAAAGCGUGGGUAGCAAACAGGAUUAGAUACCCUGGUAGUCCACGCCCUAAACGAUGAUCACUAGCUAUUGGAAAAACGAUAUUCAGUGGCUUAGCGAAAGCGAUAAGUGAUCCACCUGGGAAGUACAGUCGCAAGAUUGAAACUCAAAGGAAUUGACGGGGGUUCGCACAAGCGGUGGAGCAUGUGGUUUAAUUCGAUGAUACGCGAGGAACCUUACCAAGGCUUAAAUGUAUUACGAAUAAGCUGGAAACAGUUUAGUCUGUACGACGUAUUACAAGGUGCUGCAUGGUUGUCUUCAGUUCGUGCUGUGAAGUGUUUGGUUAAGUCCUAUAACGAGCGCAACCCCUAUUGUUAGUUGCCAUCGGGUAAAGCCGGGGACUCUAACAAAACUGCCAGUGUAAACUGUGAGGAAGGUGGGGAUGAUGUCAA
Molecule: ribosomal RNA, 899 nt
Filed under: Candidatus Uzinura diaspidicola
Lineage: Bacteria; Pseudomonadati; Bacteroidota; Flavobacteriia; Flavobacteriales
Description: bacterial SSU rRNA
Rfam family: Bacterial small subunit ribosomal RNA
Source: RNAcentral